UCUCCUCUCCUCAGCCCUGGCCUUGACUGGAGCCCAUACUCAGCCUCUUCUGGGUCUUGGCACACUCUAAACUGACACAGCAGAAGAUCUGGGGUAGGCUGGAAAAAGGGGCAGACGCUUUCUACCAUAAUAAUCCGGUGGGGUUGUAUUAUGCAAGUUGCUUUAUCUCAACCCUAGAACAGUAGAUUUGUGUAAUUGACAUUUCACUCUGUAGCUGUUUUAGCAAUUCAUCCCAUCCGUGUCCUGCAAGCUAGAGGUACAGGCAGAUUAGAGAUGAGAAUCGGUGGAAGACCCGCUGUACGAUAGCCACCAAUCCUCCCAGCCACCUGAUAUCCAUGCCCUGGGUAAUCCCUUCCCCCUGAAUGUGAGCAAGAUCUGGGAGCUGCUUCAAACCCACGGGAUGUGGCAAUAUGCCUCCGAUAUGAGUCACUUCUGUCAUUACAUUGCAUAAGAUUGUAACACCUGUCUUAUGAAAAGGACUCUUGCAGGCUUUGAUGAAGCGUGCAGCCCUAUUUGGAAGACACACACGGCAAUGAAGUCUGAGCAGCCUUUGGCCUACAAACAGCGAGAAACUGAGGGCAGCUUCUGCCUGUCGGGCAGCAGGAGGCCGAGCCACUCAGUCCAACAGGCUACAAGGAACUGAAUUCUGCCAACCACCCCAUGAGCCCUAAAGCCAGUCCGUCCCCGGUGGAGCCUUGAGAUGAGAUGGCAGUCCUGGCCUACACAGUGGCGAAAGCCCUGGGAAAGCCCUUAGAACCAGAGACGCCCAGCUAGGCCACGCCUCGACUCCUGGCCCCAGACAUCGUGAGAUAAUGAACAUAUGCUUUUUUAAGUCACCAAGUUUGUGGGAAUUUGCUAUGUAGCAAUGGAGAACUGACGCAGAAGUCAAGAUGAAGCGCAGCCGAGAGCAGACGAGAUACAGCCAGCCACAAGCCAGCCUUGUGCCUCCUGGGCACAGCCUGAGGUCAGCCUUUUGUUUCUUGCUCUACCCGUCCUUCCUCAGCGUGCUAGUAGUGGCUCUGGCCUCUCCCUCGUUGGCGACCAGAAAGGAUGGGCUGUGGAAAUCCUUCAGAGUUGGACAGAGUGUAUCGACCAAUAGUCUGCCAUGGCCACCUCCAUCUCUAAGGGACAUAUAUCAG
Non-coding RNA from Microcebus murinus (gray mouse lemur), 1139 nucleotides. The record is from RefSeq and is a predicted model, not a curated record. NCBI's taxonomy places the organism in Eukaryota, Metazoa, Chordata, Mammalia, Primates, Cheirogaleidae.